Molecule: ribosomal RNA, 463 nt
Filed under: Granulicatella adiacens
Lineage: Bacteria; Bacillati; Bacillota; Bacilli; Lactobacillales; Carnobacteriaceae
Description: bacterial SSU rRNA
Rfam family: Bacterial small subunit ribosomal RNA
Source: RNAcentral
GACGAACGCUGGCGGCGUGCCUAAUACAUGCAAGUCGAACGAGAGCGACCGGUGCUUGCACUGGUCAAUCUAGUGGCGAACGGGUGAGUAACACGUGGGUAACCUGCCCAUCAGAGGGGGAUAACAUCCGGAAACGGAUGCUAAAACCGCAUAGGUCUUCGAGCCGCAUGGCUUGAAGAGGAAAAGAGGCGCAAGCUUCUGCUGAUGGAUGGACCCGCGGUGCAUUAGCUAGUUGGUGAGGUAACGGCUCACCAAGGCCGUGAUGCAUAGCCGACCUGAGAGGGUGAUCGGCCACAUUGGGACUGAGACACGGCCCAAACUCCUACGGGAGGCAGCAGUAGGGGAUCUUCCGCAAUGGACGCAAGUCUGACGGAGCAACGCCGCGUGAGUGAAGAAGGUUUUCGGAUCGUAAAACUCUGUUGUUAGAGAAGAACAAGUGCUAGAGUAACUGUUAGCACCUAGA